UACGGAGGGUGCAAGCGUUAUCCGGAUUUAUUGGGUUUAAAGGGUGCGCAGGCGGUAUCGUAAGUCAGUGGUGAAAACUUGCAGCUUAACUGUAAGACUGCCAUUGAAACUGCAGUACUUGAGUUAUCUUGAGGUAGGCGGAAUGUGUAGUGUAGCGGUGAAAUGCUUAGAUAUUACACAGAACACCGAUUGCGAAGGCAGCUUACUAAGGAUAAACUGACGCUCAGGCACGAAAGCGUGGGGAUCGAAC
Molecule: ribosomal RNA, 250 nt
Filed under: uncultured bacterium
Lineage: Bacteria
Description: partial 16S ribosomal RNA
Rfam family: Bacterial small subunit ribosomal RNA
Source: RNAcentral